UACAGAGGUCUCAAGCGUUGUUCGGAUUCAUUGGGCGUAAAGGGUGCGUAGGCGGCGCGGCAAGUCGGGUGUGAAAUCUCGGGGCUUAACUCCGAAACUGCAUUCGAUACUGCCGUGCUUGAGGACUGGAGAGGAGACUGGAAUUCAUGGUGUAGCAGUGAAAUGCGUAGAGAUCAUGAGGAAGACCAGUGGCGAAGGCGGGUCUCUGGACAGUUCCUGACACUGAGACACGAAGGCUAGGGGAGCAAACGGG
Molecule: ribosomal RNA, 253 nt
Filed under: uncultured bacterium
Lineage: Bacteria
Description: partial 16S ribosomal RNA
Rfam family: Bacterial small subunit ribosomal RNA
Source: RNAcentral